AUUUAUUUUUUUUUCUUGCGAAAAUACAUGUAUUUUAUUAUUGUAUUUGACGAGUGAUUCAAUGUGAACAUUACAGUGGGUACUAAAUAGUUUCGUCAGUACCAAAUUCCAAAGCUGAAAAGUAAAUAUUCGUGGAGGUGGAGCUGGUGGGGUAAGUGUAAUCGUGAAAUCUCAGCAGUUGUCUCUAACAGUAUACAUUUUUGAUGUUACAUAUGAGCAGAAUAUUUCUUUAUUCUAAUUAAAAUUGUUCUUUAAUUGUAAGACGAGGGGACAGUCACAAUGUGUGCACUCGUUAUUCAGGAUUCAGAGGUAGAGGAGAGUGGAAUCGACAUUUUUCUCACUCUCGCCAUCUCUCCACUCUCUCCUGCCAUUCUUUUCUCUAAUUAAUCUCUAGAUUUGAUCAAAAACUUUAAUUUGUCUGUUCAAACACUGUAAAAACGGCUUUUACAGUGUCCAAACGAGUGUGAUGUAUUAUCUCUCCAUUUAAUCUGAAAUAAUCGGUUUUCAUCAGAACGACAACCAUUUUUAUUGGUUCAUUGAAUUCUCUUAUCUAAUAUGUUUCUAUUAUUUCAUUUUUUUUUCUCCGUUACUUUGGACAACACCUGUCGCUCCAUCAUAACAUCUCAACGCAUCUUAAAUCAAUAAAAUGGUAAAACAAAUUUUAUUAUUAUUAUUAUUUUUUUUCAGGUUUUCUCGUGAUUUUGUAUCGCAAUGAUUAUUUUAUCACUACUUAGGCAAUUAUUAUUUCGGUUUCACUUCCCAGGCCUCUCACACACACAUCAGCAUUCACACUUUUGUAUUUUUCAUUAUCUUAAUCGAUCAGUCGAUCUAUUUUGCUAGCUAUCUAUCUAUCUUCUGCUCAAGAUUCUUCGUAUCAAAUUUUCGGUUUAAAAAUCUUCACCCCAUUAUCUUUCAGGUCCCAGUACACUCACUGAUCUAUUCAAUUUUUAGAUGUUCUCACAAUCGCCCGGAACGCGCCAGAGGUAACGUUAAUUGGAUCAGGAGGGAUGUGACAUUUUUUUCGAGACGUUACUCACUUCUGAACAAAGAUGAUGAUUCGACGGAAUUAAAUCUCAUUUAAAAAAUUAUGAGUAAAUAAACAAGAUGGAGACAUUCAUGAAUCUUCACGUAUUGAGCUGAUCUUCAGAGGUUAAACUAUCUUUGUGAGAACUGGAUAAAUCACACAGAGAGUAAAUAUUUCGCAUCAAGAAUAUGAUUUUCAUUUGAGAAACUACAAGCACUCAUUAUUCCAACGAUUAAUUUUACGGAUAUUCAAAUAGGUAACACCUGGGAUAUUAUUCACACACCGUAUUUGUUACGUUAUCACUAUUCAUUCGUAUUUCUUUUUGAUUCGUAUUGCCAUGAGAGAUGGUGAUCACUUGCAAUCAUCAGUAUUCUCAAUUCGAUAUUAACUCUCGGUCCAGCGAUCACAAAGUAGUCGUAUAAAAGUACAAAAGUAGACAAAUUAAUUAACAAGACUCACUAAAACUCAAUAGUAAUUACACUGAUUAGAUAGAAAGUAGAGUAAACACGAUAAAACUGCUGAAUACAUAUCGAAUACAUUUAGAUAAUUAGUUUAAAAAUUGUUUAUAACUGUCAAUCCUUCAUUACUUUCUUGGACCAAAUUUAUUUUCCAUGUAAAAUAAGCAUCUAAAACGGCCAGCGAAUGGCCGGUGCUCCACGAUUCAUUUCAAAACUCAUUGAGACAAAACAUUGGUCGAUUCGUUGGAUUGAUACAUCUUCCUUAAUUACCCUAAAAGACGAAGAGAGAAUGGACGAAGAUAUCUUUCCAUGUUUUUUAGUGUUUUUUCUUUUAUUUUCACAAAUUUUCGUUGCUGAAUAGUAGUUCGUUGACUAUUUUAUGAAUUAUUCCCGGACAAAUUGAAUCGACCGACUGACAAAAAUCACACCGUCCUUACAUGAUAUAAUAUUAAUGGUCUGGAUGCACACAUGCAGUAGAUAUUCAAAAUUCAAAUGCAUAUCGAUAUUAUUCACGAACAAACCUCAAGGUUUCAAUCGUUAUUCUAUCAUGCGCAGAAAUCCUCGAAGGUAUUAAAAAAUAUAGACUGUAUUCACUACGAAGGCAUUCCACGAGUGGUUAUAUAUUUCCCUCAAUCAUCUACCCUAAAAUUCAUAUUGAGAGGGAAAAAAAAAAUACACUUGAGUCAUCAGACGAGACAAACACAUGAUAUAAUAACGAUCGAUGUCGAAACAUCAAGUACAAAUCCACAAUCUGGUAUAAUUUCCAUUUGUAUAACAAUUACAAAAUUUUAAUCCUCAAAAACUCCACAAUCGCUUCCAAUUUUGGCAGUUGAAAUUAAAUCAUCCCACCAAACAAUUAAAAAUCCCCAAAGAUCUCUUCAGACAUCUUUUUCUCUAUCAAUUCAACAGCAAUCCAUUGAAUUACAAUUUUAUUUAUAAUAUUCCCAUCACCAAAAGCGUAUUCUCAUGUCUCUCUUCAAA
Fopius arisanus is the source of this 2463-nucleotide long non-coding RNA. RefSeq lists it as uncharacterized. The record is from RefSeq and is a predicted model, not a curated record. The transcript has 3 exons. Lineage: Eukaryota; Metazoa; Arthropoda; Insecta; Hymenoptera; Braconidae.